GACGAACGCUGGCGGCGUGCUUAACACAUGCAAGUCGAGCGAGGCCCCUCCUUCGGGAGGGUGUCCUAGCGGCGAACGGGUGAGUAACACGUGGGCAACCUGCCCUCAGCUCUGGGAUAACUCCGGGAAACCGGGGCUAAUACCGGAUACGACCUCCACGGGCAUCUGCGGAGGUGGAAAGUUUUUCGGCUGAGGAUGGGCCCGCGGCCUAUCAGCUAGUUGGUGGGGUAGUGGCCCACCAAGGCGACGACGGGUAGCCGGCCUGAGAGGGCGACCGGCCACACUGGGACUGAGACACGGCCCAGACUCCUACGGGAGGCAGCAGUGGGGAAUAUUGCGCAAUGGGCGAAAGCCUGACGCAGCGACGCCGCGUGAGGGACGAAGGCCUUCGGGUUGGAAACCUCUUUCAGCAGGGACGAAGCGAAAGUGACGGUACCUGCAGAAGAAGCACCGGCCAACUACGU
RNAcentral lists this ribosomal RNA (464 nucleotides) under uncultured bacterium. RNAcentral's name for it is "partial 16S ribosomal RNA". It matches the Rfam family "Bacterial small subunit ribosomal RNA", at positions 28 to 506 of the family's 1533-position model. The record is from RNAcentral.